GGCGGGAUAGCUCAGUUGGCUAGAGCAUUCGGUUCAUACCCGGAGUGUCGAGGGUUCGAAUCCCCCUCCCGCUACCA
Molecule: transfer RNA, 77 nt
Filed under: Thomasclavelia spiroformis
Lineage: Bacteria; Bacillati; Bacillota; Erysipelotrichia; Erysipelotrichales; Coprobacillaceae
Also listed under: 45 other names
Description: tRNA-Met
Rfam family: tRNA
About the family: Transfer RNA (tRNA) molecules are approximately 80 nucleotides in length.
Source: RNAcentral